Molecule: non-coding RNA, 570 nt
Organism: Microcebus murinus (gray mouse lemur)
Lineage: Eukaryota; Metazoa; Chordata; Mammalia; Primates; Cheirogaleidae
Source: RefSeq, a predicted model, not a curated record
GAGUGAGGCAAGAUGAUGGACAAGAAAAACCACCAGCCAGAGUGCCUCUGCAAGAAAGAUAGAUUUUAGAUGAAAGUGGAAAAAAACAAACAGGCAGAAAAACACAGAUCAGAUGAGGCUCAGAAGGAAGGGUGCCUGAAACUACAGAAGAUUCCACAGGAAGAAGUUGUGGAGCAGAACUGGAAGGAGAAAGGGAUCUGCAGGGUCUAAACCCUGAGGAUCUUGGAGACCAGCGACAAGGUGCUGCUGUACUAUAUCAAAUUUAAAUGCCAGUCUCCACAGGCCUCGGCAAGACAGAAGACACAAUCUAUGGAAAGGAGUCAGGUGAAUCAAAAUGCUUCGCCCCUGAGGGCAAGGCAUCAAGACAACUGCAGAGGGCACCGCUAGAACCUGAAUGCAGCUGGCAGAUAUGCUAAAUUUCCAUACAUCAUUAGCUCUUCAAAUCAAUACAAAGUCAAUAGGAUCAAGCUCUACCUUCUCUUCUGCACCAAGAAAAGAUAACAACAAUAUGAAAUGGCAUCGCGAGAAAUUAAAAAUCUCUGUUGUCAAGUAGGUACUCAGAGCUGCCAA